AGAGUGAUAGAUUUCUCGAAAAAACGUGAACAGAAAGAGCCGAGAACAAGUGACAGAGACAGGGAGAAACGGAAGAGAAAGAGAGGGUCCUGUGCUUUUGGUUUGUAGGUAUGGAAGAGAGAGAGAGAAUCAAGAUUCAAAAAAGAAAGAAACAGAGUUAGAGAGACAAUCAAGAUUCAAAAAAGUAAGAAACAGAGAUAGAGAGAGAGAAUCAAGAUUAAAAAAGCACAGAGAGAGAGAGAGAGAUGAUUAGCAAAGCGAAGAGAUAUGACCUCCUGAGGAACUCCAGUAAGUGACCUUCCAUGUGAAAUAUCUUUAGGGCUUUCUGCAAGACCCCCAAUUGUAGAGGAGGGAGACAAGGAAGAAGGUAGAGAGAGAGAGAGAGAGAAGUGACACAGACAGAGAGCACUGUUCACUUGUUCCCUCGGGAAUAAUUUU
This 438-nucleotide long non-coding RNA is filed under the name Amborella trichopoda. RNAcentral's name for it is "long non-coding RNA (ATRI_LNC003978)". The record is from RNAcentral. Lineage: Eukaryota; Viridiplantae; Streptophyta; Magnoliopsida; Amborellales; Amborellaceae.